RNAcentral lists this microRNA precursor (171 nucleotides) under Picea abies (Norway spruce). RNAcentral's name for it is "miR11541 stem-loop (pab-MIR11541)". The record is from miRBase by way of RNAcentral. Lineage: Eukaryota; Viridiplantae; Streptophyta; Pinopsida; Pinales; Pinaceae.
GUAGAGUCUUUAAGACUGCAGCUGCUGAUAUAUAUAUCCGUAAUAUUGUCUUGGUAAUAUAUAUAUCGUCCGCUGUAUAUUGAUCGCCACGACUGAUAUAUAUACAGUUAAAUUGUCUUGAUAUAUAUUCGACAGUGUAUAUACCACCUGCCGCAGUCUUAAAGACCCUGC